GAUGAACGCUGGCGGCGUGCCUAAUACAUGCAAGUCGAGCGAACGGACGAGAAGCUUGCUUCUCUGAUGUUAUCGGCGGACGGGUGAGUAACACGUGGAUAACCUACCUAUAAGACUGGGAUAACUUCGGGAAACCGGAGCUAAUACCGGAUAAUAUUUUGAACCGCAUGGUUCAAAAGUGAAAGACGGUCUUGCUGUCACUUAUAGAUGGAUCCGCGCUGCAUUAGCUAGUUGGUAAGGUAACGGCUUACCAAGGCAACGAUGCAUAGCCGACCUGAGAGGGUGAUCGGCCACACUGGAACUUAGACACGGUCCAGACUCCUACGGUAGGCAGCAGUGGGGAAUCUUCCACAAUGGGCGAAAGCCUGACGGAGCAACGCCGCGUGAGUGAUGAAGGUCUUCGGAUCGUAAAACUCUGUUAUUAGUGAAGAACAUAUGUGUAAGUAUCUGUGCACAUCUUGACGGUACCUAAUCAGAAAGCCACGGCUAACUACGUG
This 497-nucleotide ribosomal RNA is filed under the name uncultured bacterium. RNAcentral describes it as "partial 16S ribosomal RNA". It matches the Rfam family "Bacterial small subunit ribosomal RNA", at positions 28 to 507 of the family's 1533-position model. The record is from RNAcentral.